Molecule: ribosomal RNA, 975 nt
Filed under: human gut metagenome
Description: bacterial LSU rRNA
Rfam family: Bacterial large subunit ribosomal RNA
Source: RNAcentral
AUAACGGUCCUAAGGUAGCGAAAUUCCUUGUCGGGUAAGUUCCGACCUGCACGAAAGGCGCAACGACUUGGGCGCUGUCUCGACCAUGGACCCGGUGAAAUUGCACUGGUCGUGAAGAUGCGACUUACCCGCGGAAGGACGGAAAGACCCCGUGAACCUUCACUGCAGCUUGGCAUUGGCCGCUGGUCCCGCGUGUAGAGGAUAGGCAGGAGGCAUCGAUCCGGAGGCGCCAGCCCCCGGGGAGCCGCCCUUGGAAUACUGCCCUCGCGCGACCGGCGUCCUAACCCGAGGCCGUCAACCGGCUCGGGGACCGUGCCAGGCGGGCAGUUUGACUGGGGCGGUCGCCUCCUAAAGGGUAACGGAGGCGCGCGAAGGUCCGCUCGGGACGGUCGGCAACCGUCCUUUUGAAUGCAAGAGUACAAGCGGGCUUGACUGCGAGGCCCACAAGCCGAGCAGGUGCGAAAGCAGGCUCUAGUGAUCCGGCGGCCCCGAGUGGGUGGGCCGUCGCUCAACGGAUAAAAGGUACUCCGGGGAUAACAGGCUGAUCUUGCCCAAGAGUCCACAUCGACGGCAAGGUUUGGCACCUCGAUGUCGGCUCAUCGCAUCCUGGGGCUGGAGCAGGUCCCAAGGGUACGGCUGUUCGCCGUUUAAAGCGGUACGCGAGCUGGGUUCAGAACGUCGUGAGACAGUUCGGUCCCUAUCCUCCGCGGGCGCAAGAGAAUUGAGAGGAUCCGCCCCUAGUACGAGAGGACCGGGGUGGACGGACCUCUGGUGUGGCAGUUGUCGACCAACGGCACGGCUGCGUAGCUACGUCCGGAACGGAUAACCGCUGAAGGCAUCUAAGCGGGAAGCCGCCCUCGAGAUGAGUUCUCUUUUCGGUAAGGGCCCAGGCAGAGUACCUGGUCGAUAGGCCGCAGCUGCAAGCGCCGCGAGGCGUUCAGGCGAGCGGCACUAAUAGCCCGAGCUCUUCAUCCG